RNAcentral lists this long non-coding RNA (355 nucleotides) under Vitis vinifera (wine grape). RNAcentral describes it as "long non-coding RNA (VVIN_LNC001835)". Lineage: Eukaryota; Viridiplantae; Streptophyta; Magnoliopsida; Vitales; Vitaceae. The record is from RNAcentral.
CAUAGUCACCAAACAGCACAUCUGCAACACCUUGGCCUUCAGUUCCCGGAAGCCAAGCAGCUACAAGUGCAUCUAUUUUUGCUAGAUAGGGCUGGAUCACAACAGGGCGGCCAGAAACGAUAACAACGACACAUUUGACAGCUGCGCAGACAUUGGAGAUGGUGCUUGCACCAGGUUCAGCUAUUGUCAGACUCAUGCUAUCACCAGCAGUUUCUGCAUAAGGAGGCUCACCCACAACAACAAUUGCGUAUGAGAAUUUGUUUGACUUGACGUAUUCUAAGUCAGGGUUCUCAUUGUAGACAAUUUGAGUGCCAGAUUCAACGGUAUUCUUCACCGCAGUUAGGAUUGUGGUUCC